GACGAACGCUGGCGGCGUGCCUAAUACAUGCAAGUAGAACGCUGAAGAGAGGAGCUUGCUCUUCUUGGAUGAGUUGCGAACGGGUGAGUAACGCGUAGGUAACCUGCCUUGUAGCGGGGGAUAACUAUUGGAAACGAUAGCUAAUACCGCAUAACAAUGGAUGACACAUGUCAUUUAUUUGAAAGGGGCAAUUGCUCCACUACAAGAUGGACCUGCGUUGUAUUAGCUAGUAGGUGAGGUAAUGGCUCACCUAGGCGACGAUACAUAGCCGACCUGAGAGGGUGAUCGGCCACACUGGGACUGAGACACGGCCCAGACUCCUACGGGAGGCAGCAGUAGGGAAUCUUCGGCAAUGGGGGCAACCCUGACCGAGCAACGCCGCGUGAGUGAAGAAGGUUUUCGGAUCGUAAAGCUCUGUUGUAAGUCAAGAACGGGUGUGAGAGUGGAAAGUUCACACUGUGACGGUAGCUUACCAGAAAGGGACGGCUAACUACGUGCCAGCAGCCGCGGUAAUACGUAGGUCCCGAGCGUUGUCCGGAUUUAUUGGGCGUAAAGCGAGCGCAGGCGGUUUGAUAAGUCUGAAGUUAAAGGCUGUGGCUCAACCAUAGUUCGCUUUGGAAACUGUCAAACUUGAGUGCAGAAGGGGAGAGUGGAAUUCCAUGUGUAGCGGUGAAAUGCGUAGAUAUAUGGAGGAACACCGGUGGCGAAAGCGGCUCUCUGGUCUGUAACUGACGCUGAGGCUCGAAAGCGUGGGGAGCGAACAGGAUUAGAUACCCUGGUAGUCCACGCCGUAAACGAUGAGUGCUAGGUGUUGGAUCCUUUCCGGGAUUCAGUGCCGCAGCUAACGCAUUAAGCACUCCGCCUGGGGAGUACGACCGCAAGGUUGAAACUCAAAGGAAUUGACGGGGGCCCGCACAAGCGGUGGAGCAUGUGGUUUAAUUCGAAGCAACGCGAAGAACCUUACCAGGUCUUGACAUCCCGAUGCUAUUUCUAGAGAUAGAAAGUUACUUCGGUACAUCGGUGACAGGUGGUGCAUGGUUGUCGUCAGCUCGUGUCGUGAGAUGUUGGGUUAAGUCCCGCAACGAGCGCAACCCCUAUUGUUAGUUGCCAUCAUUCAGUUGGGCACUCUAGCGAGACUGCCGGUAAUAAACCGGAGGAAGGUGGGGAUGACGUCAAAUCAUCAUGCCCCUUAUGACCUGGGCUACACACGUGCUACAAUGGUUGGUACAACGAGUUGCGAGUCGGUGACGGCGAGCUAAUCUCUUAAAGCCAAUCUCAGUUCGGAUUGUAGGCUGCAACUCGCCUACAUGAAGUCGGAAUCGCUAGUAAUCGCGGAUCAGCACGCCGCGGUGAAUACGUUCCCGGGCCUUGUACACACCGCCCGUCACACCACGAGAGUUUGUAACACCCGAAGUCGGUGAGGUAACCUUUUGGAGCCAGCCGCCUAAGGUGGGACAGAUGAUUGGGGUGAAGUC
Molecule: ribosomal RNA, 1475 nt
Filed under: Streptococcus thermophilus
Lineage: Bacteria; Bacillati; Bacillota; Bacilli; Lactobacillales; Streptococcaceae
Description: bacterial SSU rRNA
Rfam family: Bacterial small subunit ribosomal RNA
Source: RNAcentral